CGAAGGGUGCAAGCGUUACUCGGAAUUACUGGGCGUAAAGCGUGCGUAGGUGGUUUCUUAAGUCUGCUGUGAAAGCCCCGGGCUCAACCUGGGAAUUGCAGUGGAUACUGGGGAGCUAGAGUGCGGUAGAGGGUAGUGGAAUUCCCGGUGUAGCGGUGAAAUGCGUAGAGAUCGGGAGAACACCAGUGGCGAAGCGGCUACCUGGACCAGCACUGACACUGAGGCACGAAAGCGUGGGGAGCAAACAGGAUU
This 252-nucleotide ribosomal RNA is filed under the name uncultured bacterium. Its description in RNAcentral is "partial 16S ribosomal RNA". It matches the Rfam family "Bacterial small subunit ribosomal RNA", at positions 526 to 779 of the family's 1533-position model. The record is from RNAcentral.